Pedobacter ginsenosidimutans is the source of this 105-nucleotide non-coding RNA. NCBI's taxonomy places the organism in Bacteria, Pseudomonadati, Bacteroidota, Sphingobacteriia, Sphingobacteriales, Sphingobacteriaceae. The record is from Rfam.
UGCUUAUUAAGAAAGACGGAGGGAUUAGACCCAACGAAGUCUUAGCAACCUGUAACCAUACAAGGUGCUAAAUUCUAUUCUGCAAAUAGCAGAAACAGAUAAGUU